UAGGGAAUCUUCGGCAAUGGACGGAAGUCUGACCGAGCAACGCCGCGUGAGUGAAGAAGGUUUUCGGAUCGUAAAGCUCUGUUGUAAGAGAAGAACGAGUGUGAGAGUGGAAAGUUCACACUGUGACGGUAUCUUACCAGAAAGGGACGGCUAACUACGUGCCAGCAGCCGCGGUAAUACGUAGGUCCCGAGCGUUGUCCGGAUUUAUUGGGCGUAAAGCGAGCGCAGGCGGUUAGAUAAGUCUGAAGUUAAAGGCUGUGGCCUAACCAUAGUACGCUUUGGAAACUGUUUAACUUGAGUGCAAGAGGGGAGAGUGGAAUUCCAUGUGUAGCGGUGAAAUGCGUAGAUAUAUGGAGGAACACCGGUGGCGAAAGCGGCUCUCUGGCUUGUAACUGACGCUGAGGCUCGAAAGCGUGGGGAGCAAACAGGAUUAGAUACCCUGGUAGUCCACGCCGUAAACGAUGAGUGCUAGGUGUUAGACCCUUUCCGGGGUUUAGUGCCGCAGCUAACGCAUUAAGCACUCCGCCUGGGGAGUACGACCGCAAGGUUG
RNAcentral lists this ribosomal RNA (550 nucleotides) under uncultured bacterium. RNAcentral describes it as "bacterial SSU rRNA". It matches the Rfam family "Bacterial small subunit ribosomal RNA", at positions 355 to 896 of the family's 1533-position model. The record is from RNAcentral.